AUACGGAGGGUGCAAGCGUUACUCGGAAUCACUGGGCGUAAAGCGCGCGCAGGCGGCCAUUUAAGUUGGAUGUGAAAGCCUACGGCUCAACCGUAGAACUGCAUCCAAAACUGUCAGGCUAGAGUGUGGGAGAGGAAGAUGGAAUUAGUUGUGUAGGGGUAAAAUCCGUAGAGAUAACUAGGAAUACCAAAAGCGAAGGCAAUCUUCUGGAACACUACUGACGCUGAGGCGCGAAGGCGUGGGGAGCAAACAGGAUUAGAAACCCCAGUAGUCC
Molecule: ribosomal RNA, 274 nt
Filed under: uncultured bacterium
Lineage: Bacteria
Description: partial 16S ribosomal RNA
Rfam family: Bacterial small subunit ribosomal RNA
Source: RNAcentral